AAAUAGCAACUGAUUGCCCUACAAACUAGGACAUUAUUAACAGAACAAGUAAACAACUAAGCAGUAAGUAAGUCUUGAAAAUUCUAAUACUUCAACAACAGGAAGCUUACAACAUCACAUAUAUAUAGAAACUAAGAUAUGCAGCCCAUGACCACAUAUUUUGGUCUUACACAGAGGAACUAUUGGAGAAACUUCAACAUGCAUCGCAUGCAGCCCCACAUCUUGACUUUGCAUCUCAUGCUAUGCGCUUACUUAGAAGAUACGGAAAAUAUAACGUAGUUUUUUCAAAGAUCUUACUGGAAGAGUGUCACUUUCAACAGUAAGUAUGGAACAUGGACAGAUGAUGAUGGAAUGCAGCUCCCUCACCCAAGUAUUCAUUCUGACGAACAAGAAAUCUGAAAUUGAAGAGCGCUGCUGGUAGAGACUUACAGAAUUGUUCUCAAAGAACGAGAAGUUGAAGAGUUGUAUUGCUGUAUGUGAUAUUUCUGAAGGCGUGAGUGGCACAAUUGUGGACGAAUUUGAUGUCUCUAUGGGCUAUUAAUUUAUGAGGUUAUCUAUAACCCGUGGAGAGAAGAUUUUCACAUUCAAUGAUCAUCCUAAGCUCUGCAAGAUCAAUGUUCUUGAUGGGAGAUUAUCGUUCUACAAAUGAUUACACAAAGCAAGAGUAGAAUUUGACAGAGAAGAGCUUGGCUCCAGAGAUGGAAAAGAUUUUAAGCUCUGCAAUUAGCAGGGAUGAAUUGAAGAAUCUAGCUGUGAUGGAUUGAUGAGCUGAUAAACUGAACAGUAUGUGUUAGCUCAAGAUUUUUCAUUUUCAAGUUCAAGUACAGAGUUUUCCAUUAUUCUUUUAUCUCCUAGCAUGGUCAGUGGUUUCCCUUUUCUUUUAGCAAUACUGAAAGUUAGGCAUGCUCUGUUUUUCUUUUAUCUGUUACGCAUCAUCUCUGUUCAUACACUUUAUUUUCAAGGAAUAUCGAGGAUGAAAACUAUGUGAAAAAUGAGGAUAAAAACUAUGUGCAGGGAAACCGUGAGCAGGAAAGUUGUGUCCAAGCUCAAAAUCCACUGGCUACCUGCCAAAUGAUUCAUAUUCAACAUUUAACCGGUUCAGCCGGUUUUCAAUUACAUCCAAUCUCCCUCUCCCUUUUCUUCCUGCACAGUAAAUGGCAAGUCUUCUAGAUGUGAUCGGUAAUAUUGACGGGAACCGGAGGAUUAUCUGGUUAUUAGAUUUAGAUUCUAUAAAGAUUAAUUGAGGUAUGUUUAAGCUGGUCUGAAUAUUUUACAUGAAUAAAUAAAAUAAAUAAAUAGCAAGUCUCCUAUAAGGUUUUUGUCUAUGUUAUAAAGUCUGUUAUUUAAUUUAAUUUUAUCACUGAAAAAAGAAGAGACCAUUACUGGUUGCUUGCAUUUGCAGCCCUAAUCACAUGGUCACUAGCAACCUGGAAGAAUGUCCUGCGUGUAAUUAAAGUCAGACAACACGUUAAUUAGUGUUUUAAUCUAGCUAUUUGACACGUGUUCUACCUAAAUGAGAUAAUUUUUAUCUAUAAAAAAAUUAUAUACACUGAUUUUUUUCAAUGUGUUUUUAUAAUUUAAAAAAAUUAUGUGAAUUGAAAAGCUCGUGUGUAUAUAUAUUUAGAUAAAUUGAGAAUUAUAUAUGUUUAUAAAUAGAAAAAAAAUCAUUAAUAAUUACUAAAAAUAAAAUUGAAAAAAAUCAAGAAACAUUUAUAUAUAAAGAUAUUUAACCUCGCAAGACAAGAUAUUUAUCUGGUUAUGCUUGCUGAAUUUGUUUAUUAAAAUUAAUUUUUUAUUCAAUCAAACGAUGAUAUAAAUAGAUAUACACAUUAAAUUGAUUGAAUAAAAUAAAAUAAAAUAAAAAUUAUGCAAGGCUACACAUAUUAAAAAUAUUAUCUGAAAAUAAAUAUUUUUAUUUUAAAAAUAAAAUUCAUCUAUAUAAAAGAUAAAAAAAAAUUAUAGAUGAAUAAGAAUAUUUUUUUUCCAAAAACUAAAUACACACAACACCAUUAAAAAAAUCUCUAUAAAAAAAGGCUAAAUAAAAAAAAUCACAGAGAAUGGAUAUUAACUGAACUAUAAAUUUAAAAAUUAUUUAAGAAAAAAGAAAUUCAAAGAAGAUAUCAAUUAAAAAAAGCAAAAUUAGAAAAAUAAAAUCUAGAUGUUAUGGCUUAACUCAUCAAACAUAUAUUUCGAGCCAGGACUCAACUGGAUUUAACAAUUGUUUUCUCUUAAAUUUCUAUCUAGCCCCUGAAAAAAGAGCAAAAAAAUAGGUCAUUGCAAGGAAAAGCAAGGGCAUGUGGUGGGCCUUUAAGCCUAAACCCACACGUCUGGGCUUAGUUAUAUUUUUUUUAUUUUUUAAAAGGGAAUGUAAGUUGUCAACCCUUAUUUUUUUAAGGAAAAAACACUCGCUUGUCAAGGCAGAUGAUGUGUCGUCUGCGAGCUCAUAUUUCGGCCAUAACUAUGAUAGCUGGAAAAUCAGGACAACGCCGUUUUUGGUAUAAAAAAAAAGACUCAAUUUUUAAGUCAUUUCAACCCCAAAAUACCUCACCAACAUCCUUAUAACACCCAAAACCAUUAUGUCAACUCCAAAUACCUAAAAAAAAUUGCCCAAGAACCCGAAAUCAAACCGGGUAAGUUUUGGCUUUCUCGGUUUAAAUCUAGUUUUUUAUGCAACAUUGAAACUCCAAACAACCACCAUAAAACUCCUCUCAUCUCUAAGAACUCAUAAAAACCCAUUUUGGUGGGCAAAAAUAGAAUGAACGAUAACUUUUCUCUUAUCACUGAAAUCCAGUAACACAUCUCUCGAAUUAGGGACUGAAAAAUAACGCAAAUAAACUUGUGUAUCUAAAUUGAUUUUUUAAAAUUUCAAGAGGUCUAAAAUGUAUGAAUCAUGUUAUUUUUAAAGAUCGAGGACUUGGGCGCCUUUUUCAUUUAAAUUUCUAUUCUUUUAAUUUCAUCAUUAACUAAAAAACCAAAAGUAAUUAGUUUUCAAUAAGGAUCAAAUUACACAAGAUAAACUUUGAGGAUCAAAAUAAAUUAGUAGAAAAUAAAUAGUAAAUCCACAAUGUUUUGUGAGUGAAUGAACAAUGCCCAGCUACAGUAGAAAGAUAACACGUGUUAGAGUUUCAGAUUUUUUUUUUUAGUUCCAGAUAUUAAUUUGGUUAGUGGUAAAUCUGGACUUUAUUAUAUGUGAUUAAUCACAUCUGUGCACAAUGACAUCGGAUUACCUUUUUUUUUUACAUGUUGCUCAAGCAUCAAGUUACCUUGUGUGGUGGGAGAAAAAAAAAACAAUUUCAAGAAUAUAUACAAGUUAGUAAAUUAAUAGUUAUAGAAUAUCAUGACACGAUAGCUCACAUCAUGAAUAUAUACCAUGUAUGUAUCCCACGUAUUAUGAUAAGCUCACAAUUUUUUUAAAAAGUUUUUUGAUAAUUUUUUUUACCAGGAAAAUAUAUAUAUAUAUAUAUAUAUAUAUAUAUAUAUAUAUAUAUAAGAAAAAGCUAAUUUAACCAUAACUCUUUGUGCUCACAAGUUAUGUUUAACUAGAAAACGGAUAAAAAGAAGGAUCGUUCCAAGAAAUUUGAUGCUAACCCUAGUUUCCAACAUUUCUUGGUCAUGUCUAAACCUUAAAUACACAUUGGUCCAAAAUCUAGGGUGUUUUUUAUAAUAAUAUCUUGGUCCUAGUCCAGAAUUUCAUGUCAAAAGUCAAUGAAACGACCCUGUCUAAUUUCCUAUCGCAAUUAAACAAUAAAUUAAACAAGCACGACUUGUAGACUCCAAGAACAAAAUCAAAGGGCAGCAGAAAAUGUGAAUAAUAAUGAAAAAAAAAUAAAAAAAAAAUGAAAAGCAACAAGAAAGUAAAAAACAAAAACGAAAGGAACCGGAAGUUGCUUAUGGAGAGAGAGAGAGAGAGUUAACGCGGAGUGUACACCAAAAGCAAAAACCCAAAAAGCUUUCCCCCAGUCGCUCUCCUCCUCCUCCUCCUCCACGCGGUAUAUCUCUCACUGUCCCUUCUUUCCUCGAAGAAAAAAGAAACCCUACCUCCCAAUAUUUAUUUACAUAGGAACAAGAAGCCCCAUAGACGAAAAGCAAAAGAGACGUCGAUACAAAGUUCCAGAACCAAAGAAACCAAGAACAUUCAAAGUUGCUAAAGCAGAUGAUGUUGAGAUCGUGUUACAGACCGUUGGAGAGGUGUUUUGGUCGGGUAGCAGGUGGUGGUGGUGAUGGAUUGAUGUGGCAUGCGGAUUUGAAACAACAUGCUUCUGGUGAUUAUUCAAUAGCGGUUGUCCAAGCCAAUUCUAAUUUAGAAGAUCAAAGUCAGGUUUUUACGUCUCCGUCCGCUACUUAUGUUGGUGUUUAUGAUGGUCAUGGUGGUCCUGAAGCUUCCCGGUUUGUUAAUAAACAUAUGUUUCCUUUCAUGCAUAGUGAGAAUUCUCUCCCUCCCUCCGUCUUCCUGUUCAAUUUUCUUUCUUAAUUUUUUUUUAUUAGGAUGUUCUUCUAUGUUGUUUUCUUUUAGUUAGGUGUUUUCUUAUUUUAAUGAUCAUGAUCAUGGUGAUUCUCUUAAACCAUGAAUUUGUUUGUGGCCUUUUGCUUUCUUUAACUUUUAGUCUAGUGGUUAAGGACUCAAGGCUGAGGUCCAUGUUCCAUAGAAAAGAAAAUUGAGUUUUUAUUGAAUGAAUCAUGUAUUAGCUUGUUCUUUAUUUUGUUCUAACUUCCCUUGUGUGUGCGAGUGCGGUAGGAUGUAUUGAUGUCUUUUCUAUUCAAUAGAAUGAAAUUCGAUGUGGGAGGUUUAGGUUUGCUUUUGUGGGAUUAACUGUGUUAGUGGUAGGAUGAUAAGAUGUAGAAAACUGAAGUUUAAAACCUGCAUUAAACUGCUACAGAUAUCUGGUUUUAUUGAAUUGGAGCUUCCUUAUUCUCAUAUUCCCCCAAUUGAAAUAGAAACUAGAGAAUAUGUGAUAAAAAUAGCAAUUUUGACAGCCGAUGGUGUGGACUGAAACGACCUGUAGGCAACAGACUUCUGUCUCUGUAUCAUUUUCUGUCUAAGAUGUUAUCUUUGAUUGCAGAAUUUGCUAAGGAGCAUGGGGGGUUAUCAGCUGAUGUCAUAAAGAAGGCUUUUAAUGCAACUGAAGAGGAAUUUUGCCAUUUAGUGAAGCGAUCAUUACCUUUGAAGCCGCAGAUUGCUUCAGUUGGAUCGUGUUGUUUGGUUGGUGCAAUUUCAAAUGAUGUGUUAUAUGUUGCAAAUCUCGGGGAUUCUAGGGCAGUUCUUGGCCGAAGAGUUGACGAGGAUAAGAAAAAAACAGUAGUGGCAGAAAGGUUAUCGACUGAUCACAACGUUGCUGUUGAAGAGGUGAGAAAGGAGGUUGAGGCACUUCAUCCUGAUGAUUCACAUAUUGUAGUCUAUACUCGUGGAGUUUGGAGAAUUAAGGGCAUAAUCCAGGUACAGUGGCUUCUUGUUGCUAGGCUUGUUUUCUUCUUCUUGUUUUUGCUUGUUAGUUAUGAGAAUUCAGCUUAUUGAGCAUUGUUUGUGUUGGGGAAUAAUACAUUCAUUGAUUGAGGGGCGAAUAUGUUUCUUCCUCUCCUUUUCUUUGAAUGUCUUGCCAGGUUUGUUUUGAGUUAGUUGGAUAACCUUCAUCUUAAAAACACCAUUUGCAGUGUUUGUUUGACAUAAAGUAAUUGAUCUGAGGAUGGAUCAAUUCUAAAGGUAUCCAAUUUUAUGUUUGGUUAUCUUAUCUUUAUCUUUUGCUUUUGCUUUAUGAUAGGCAUCUGUCUAUGGUGGAAACACUAUAGUUAAAGUUGGUCAGAGGGUUAGGUUCAUGCUCUUCCAGGAAUCUUAUUCUCUGUCUCCUGGUCUACCAUUUCAUGCAAUCAAGUGAAACAGUAUAGUCUUCCAUGCAUGAGAUGUACAUGAAAACCCCCGAGGCCUAACAAGAAUGCUUAUGUAAUUACAGGGAGUCUUGAUCCUCUCUCUGUUUUUUUUUCCUUUUCCUUUUUGUUUUUUCCAUUUAACUUUUCUAGACACUAGGAACAUCAUACUGUGAUCUUCUGAUUAAUGAACUGAAACAUUGUCUUCUGUUGUUACUCGACUCCCUGAAGUUGUGGAGCUGAUCACUAACUUACUCCACUAACUUAACGCAUGUGGUAGAUGAGGGUGGAAUAAACCUUUCCUGUUCCUUUUUGUCCUUUUCAGGUAUCCAGAUCCAUUGGUGAUGUGUAUCUGAAGAAACCAGAGUUUAACAGGGACCCAAUUUAUCAGCAGUUUGGUAACCCUAUUCCUUUGAAACGGCCAGUAAUGACAGCAGAACCUUCCAUUGUUUUUAGAAAGUUGAGGUCAGAAGACUUGUUCCUGAUAUUUGCUUCAGAUGGUCUCUGGGAACAAUUAACCGACGAAGCAGCUGUAGAGAUUGUUUUCAAGAACCCUAGAGCUGUGAGUGCUGUCUUUGACUUGCAUGUUUUGCGUACUUUUUGUUGCAACUCUCAUCGAUAGCUUAGAUCUCAGUCCUAAUUUAUACCUUGAGAGGCAAGUUUUAGCUACAAUGGGAUCAUUGGGAAUGAAAUAAUUGAAUUCCUUUUUCACAUCACAAGCCUGGUUGAGCCCAUGAAAAUGCAGUAGCGCUGUUAAAUCUACCCCUAGCUUCCAGACGUACCAUAUUCUUGUUGAACAUGGACAUACUUUUAGAAAUAGGAUAUUCCAGACUUCUGAAAUUUUAAGCAAAUGCAUUGACAAACAAACUAGAUGUCAUCAAUGUUCAAUUGUAUAGAGUUAUUUAUGCCAGUCCAGAUUUUGCUGUUUGCUUGACGAUCCUAUGGGCUGUUUGAUACCUGCAGGGGAUUGCCAAGAGAUUGGUUAGAGCUGCUAUUCAGGAAGCUGCAAAGAAAAGAGAGAUGAGAUAUAAUGACAUUAAGAAAAUUGAAAAGGGAAUACGAAGGCAUUUUCAUGAUGACAUCACUGUGAUUGUAAUUUACCUUGAUCACCAAAAAGGUUCUUCCAAUGGUAGAUUAAAGAACAAUGCCAUUGGCUGCACCAGCGCUCCAGUCGACAUUUUCUCCCGUGACGCAGAUCAAGCGGAGGCAGACAUGCUUCAAACAAUUUCUUGAACAAAGAAAAAGAAAAAACCCUCUGAAGGGUCAACACUGACGUCUUGAUUUCUUCAAGGUAAAUUGAGAUGGGUAUAGUAUGCAUAUGGAUGGUGCACACAAGGAAUUCAAAGUAGAAAAUACAUUUAUGUGGAUAAGGUUAUCAAUGGAUAGCGGGUUCUGGGUAUAUACUCUUGCAAGUGAAGAUCUAACUAUACUUUCUUUCGUUCUAUUACGGAUUGGAUAACUUCUCAGAGAUUGUAGCACUGAUUUUGUGCCUUUUUUGUUCCAAAUUUUAGAAAUUACAAGUCUUGAUUGAUUGAUCAUUGCCCCAUUACGAAGUUUGUUCAAGGUAUUUUAACAGUUUUAUGUGGUAACUCGCACUACUUAACAGGGUACAGAAGCAGUGGAAUGCGUGAUUAGCCGAUUCCUGUUUCCUAGGAUCCCUGCACUAAUUAACAUAUAUUAUAACUUUUUUUAAAAAAAGAAAGAAAUGUAUGUAGAAGAACACAUCUCAUCAGCAGAAGACUCCUCUAAGCAAAGUAACAGUCAAAGUUAAUGUUCUCUUUAAAGUCCUUGGUAAAUGAGUAAUGAAACUUGAUGGGCAUGCAUGUGCACUUCAUGUACCAGCAUGUGAGAGCUAUCCACCAUGAGCAAGCAACUCGUGUGGUGAAUUUCAGUGGCCUAACAUUAUCGUUCGCCAUUGAAUUGGAUUCCUUGUGGCGAGAGCUUCUCGUUGAGAGGGCGCGUGUGCCGUUGGGAAGCAUUUGGCAGCCAAUUUUUCUUUUUCUCCUCCCUCUUUUCUCUCUCAUCUCCGUAAAAUUCACGCUAUUCUGCCAUUAAUAGAAAGUGUUUUGCCAUUUUAAUUUUGUUUCAAAUUUUAUCAUCAGAUCUCUAUCUUUUUGCUUUUGAAUUAUUUUUUGAAUUGAUUUUAUUUUUUAAUUUUUUCCUUGAUUAUUUGUUUUGAUUUAGCUCUUAUAUUAAAUCUUAUCAUUUUUUUUUAUUGCUCUUUGUUUUAUAUCAUUUUCUUAGUUGAUUUUUUUAUUUCAUUUAUUAUUUAGAUUUUUUUUUAUUUAGAUUUUUUUUAUGAUUGUUAUUUAUUUUAUUUUAAAUUAUUUUGUUAUUAAUUAUUUUUUUCAAUUUCAUCACUCAACAUUUAGUUGAUUGAGAUUUUAGUUUUGUGAUUUUUUUGAAUCUAUCUUCUAUGAAGUAAUCCCAACCUUUUAACCGAGGUCAAGAGUUUGGAAGAUUAGCCCUUCAGUAUUUUUUUAGGUUCUUUUGUUAAAAUUAAUUUUUUUUUCAAUUUUAUAUUUCAACAUUUUGUUAAUUGGGGGUUUGACUUCGUGAUCUUUUUUAUAUUUUCUAUGAAAUUAUUUCAAUGUCAUGCAAGGUUUUUUUUCAUUGUUUUAUUUUAAUUGAUUUUUUUUUAAUUUUUCACUUCAGCAUUGAGUUGAUUUGAGAAUUGAGCUUUGAAGUUUUAUUUAAUUUGGUUUUUUACGGGGUUAUCUUGAUCUCACAAUUAGAUCAAAGAUUUGGCUAGCUAACUCGGGUGGACUCGGGUCAGGAUUUUUUGUUCUUUUUAAAAAUUAUUUUUUUUUAAUUUCACAUUUUAACAUUUUAUUUACUUGGAAUUGAGUUUCAGAUUCUUUUUUUUAUAUUUUUUAUAUGGGAUUAUUAUGUUCUUUUUUAUUUUAUUUUUUGUUACCAGAUAAAAUCAUGAAAAUCUUUUAAAAAUAUUGAAAGAAUAUAUUUUCAUAAUAUUGACAAGUAUUUUUUUUUUUUAGUUAAUCAUUGUUAUUUUUUUUAUUUAACCUGGUUUACAAUUUAUUUAUUGUCACUGUUUUUUUAAUUAUUUUAUUAAAUUAAUCAAGCUAACCCAAUUGAAUCAAUGAAUAAAUCUUGAUUUUUUAUUGUUUCUUUAAAAAUACUUCUGUCACCUAACCAUCAAUUUUUUUAAAAACAUUGAUUAGAAUUUAACUUGGCCGGUGACAUAGCCAACAUCAAUCUACUUCAUUGUUAUUCAUGUUACCAAGAAAGACAAGCGCUCUCUCUCUCUCUCUCUCUCUCUCUCUCUCUCUCUCUCUCUCUCUCUCUCUCUGUGGGCUACUUACUUUUUUUCUAGUGUGCCAAUGGCAAAUACAAUAUCUAUAUAUUAAAAAACCCGGCCCAGUCGAAAUCCAUUUUUUUAUAUAUAUUUUAUGCUUUAUGCAUAGAAAAGCACAGUAGGAAAGGAAAUAUGGUUUUGACAACCACUCUGUUUUUGGCACUGUGGCCAUUGUUUAAGCCAGUCAUUAUGCAAGUUGUUUGAAGUGGAAAUGGAUCCUACAAGAUCUUGCUCCUCGUAAGGAUGACUGUAAGCACUUCUCAUUGAUAAGACACGUCCCAUAAUUUCCAAGACAGGCACUUACAAGUUUUUCGUCGUUAACAAGGUUUCCAUGAUCAUUCUUGAGGAUAGAACAGUACAAACUACAGAGGACCACUGAAACACACUGUUGGCAUUCAUGUUUCUGAAUUAGGUUAUAACUGUGCUUCACAAAACCAACAAAUGGAAUUUAAACGCCACAUCAUCGUGACCUGUAGGCAUAGCUUUUCAUCAAUUCAGCAUUUAUAUAUAGUUAUACUCUUUGUUACACCUGCUAUAUACACACUGCACAAACAUCUAGCUACUUUCAGUAUAUAUCCCAGAAGCCAGAACUUUCCGAAAUCACGCAUCAUCAGCUAAUAAAUGGCCAAUUAGCAGCUCUCCUGGCCAAACCGUUCACUCUUCUUUCUUUACCACGUAGCUCGAUGCUCAAGAACCUAACAACAUUACAUGGAAAAUCACAUCUUAUCAAUGAAAAUUGUCAAAAUAAAUAACACCAACUCAGGGAAAGGGUAAGACAGGUGUAGGCCAAAAAAUGCUUUGACAAGGAGAUUCAGAACUAAGUUCAACUAACAAAAGAAUACAUAUAAUAUUUGUGGCCCAUAAGAACAAAACAACGGCAGAUAUCCCAAUUCCGUAUUUUCAGAGGGACUAUUUUCUUCUUGAGUAAAUAUAAUAAAAAAAAAUGCCAUCUUCUUGUAUAUUAAGAGCAUCAAAUUAUUAAUCACAAUGACGAGAAGUUGCGGAUAAAAUUUUCGUUUUCAUAACCACCAAAUGUUAAUAACACAAAAUGGUUCAUAUUUGAUAGAUGUAUACAUACCUUGAAGUCAGUAACUCCGCCUUACCCUUCUUUUCAUGUCUUGUCCGGAUCCAUGCUCAGCCCUCCAAAUGGAUGUGUUCAUGAGUACUUGCAUAUCUUCAACCUCCAAGAGACAUUGGGAAGCUUUUACAAGAUCAUUCAUAUCAACCAUAUCUCCAUGCCUAAUCAAAACAUGAGACAGAUAAGAAGAGGAUUGCCUAUGACCACUUGGUUAAACGUUCUGAUAACCUGCACUUUUCCUCCCUGGAAAUAUGUGGAUCAAGCUCGUGAAGACUGCUUAUGAACAUGAUUGCAUCAUCCCGAUGGUUAUGUUUACAGUAUCCAUCGACAACUGAGUUAUAUGUAUUUUGGUUCGGUUUACAGCCAUGCUUGAUCAUGUAUCGCACAACAUCAAUAGCGUCCUCAAACAUUGAAUCAGCUGCAUAACUUGCAACAAAAGUAUUAUAAGUGAUUACAUCUGGAACAAGCCCAGAUUCCCUCAUUUCUGAGAAUAUCCGUGAAGCCUCUUUCAUCCUCCCAUUUCGACAAUAUGCAAAAAUUACGGUGUUGUAAGAAAUUGUAUCUGGUUUUAUUCCCUUUGCUAGGAUUUCUUUCAAAACUUCUUCUGAUCUCUCAAAAUUCUCUGAUCGGCUGUGCAUAUACAUCAAACUAUUGUAAGUUGCCAAGCUAGGAGUGAAUCCACUCUCAUUCAUGAAGUUCAAGAUCUCAUUUGUUUUGGUAAACAUCUGCCUCCUGCCAUAUAUAGAAAUCAUGGCAUUCAGAGUACUCAAGUCAGGUGAAAAACCUUUUCUCUUCAACUCCAGGAAUGCAACCUCAGCUUCUACCAGUAGGUCACAUUUACUAUUAACUAAAACAAGGGUCUUCAAGAGUACGGCAUGGGGUUCAAUUACACCAGAGCAUAUCUCCUCCGCAAGAGCAAGCAUCCGCCCAAUCUCCUUGCCAUUGGCAUAAGCAUGAAGCAAAGAACAGUAUGUCAGCUCAUUGGGCUUGCACCGACCAUCUUUCAUUUCAGCGAAUAUUUUCUCUGACUGUUCCCAGAGCCCUCCUCGAGCUAAUGCUGCCAAAACAGCAUUAUAGGUGGAAAGAUCAGGUGUAAUCCCAGCUUCCAGCAUUCUCUUGUAUACAUCCAUGGCUUGGUCAAAUGAUCCACACCGGCUGUACGAGCUGAUUAGGGUGUUGUAAGUGUCCCUCUCAGGUACAAAGCCAGCCCUCUUCAUCUCCUUGAAAACUCCAGACACUUCUGAGUCCAUCCCAUUUUGCCCAAACACUGCUAAAAGGGUAUUCCAAGUAACAAUAUCCGGUACGCAACAGGAAUUUUUUAUCUCCUCAAAAACCUUCAUCAUUUCUGCAAACUUUCCCCUGUUACCAUGCAUCUUAAUCAAGGCAUUGAAAGUACAAAUAUUAGGUUUGCAACCCGCUGCUCUCAUUUCAGCAAAAACCCUCAUUGCAGACUCGUCCUUACCAGCCCUCACAAAUCCUGACAAAAGCGUAGUGUAAGUAAAAACAUCCAGGUUAAUCCCACCUUCAACCAUCUGGUUUUUAAGCUCCAUUGCUUCUUUCAACAGACCAUCUCUUGCAUAGGCAGAUAUCAAGGAAUUGUAAGUCACAAUGCUUGGUGAACAUCCAUUAACCUCCAUUUCUCUUAAUACCUCCAUGGCCUCCUUAGUCCGCCUUGACUUCCCAUAAACAUCCAAUAACGCAUUAUAAGUGACCUUGUCAGGCACAAAACCCAUCGAUUUCAUAUCCUUGAAAACCGCAGCAGCUUCUUCAUGCAAAGAUCCUCGUCUACAACAAGUUAUAAGCGUAUUAUAUGUAUACUCAUCUGGCAAAACUCCAGCAUUCUUCAUUCCCUCAAACAGACCUUUAAUCUUAUUCCAAGGCAUGCCCAUUUUCCCAUACACAUUCAAAAUCACAUUAUAAGUAAUCAAAGUUGGUUUGCAACCUUCUUCCUCCAUCUUCUUAAACACCAUCACAGCUUCCCUAUACCUUCCAUUACUAACACAAGCAGUGAUUAAAGAUGUAUAAGCAUAAACAUCAAGUCCAAACCCAUCUUUAUGCAAAUCAUUCAACAAAGAUGCUGCCACUGAAACUUUUCCUUCUUUACCAAGCAUGCUAAUAAUCACAGCCACAGCUGAAUUACUCAAAACAGAUCCACAAUCAUUCCUAUUCUUAAACCACUCAAACACACUCAUUGCCAGGUCACGUUUUUUAUAAAACCCUAAACCCUUAAUAACACCCAAAACAUCAUUACUUAACCCCUCCUUGCCACCGCUACUUAAACUCAACUCUUCUUUAUGGUAAUCAAGUAAAAGACUCAAGAUCUUAUCUAAUUCACUGCUUUCAAAAGAUGGGUCAUUUAAGGAAUCUAGAACUCGCUGACCUUGAAGGGAGAGGCGAUGGUGGGUCCAGGGUUUGCCACGGUUGCUGUCACGGGCCUUGCCAAUUCGGGUUCGGGCUCUUGGGAUGGGAAAUGGGUCAGGUUGGGUUUGUGAGGUGAUGGGUUUGGAAGGAUCAGAGCUUUGCUUAAAAAGGAAGUCCUGCAUAAGCGAUGUGCCAUGCUGAGGUGGUGGUGAAGUGGGCGUUGUUGGUUUUAGCUGUUGAUGGUGGACGUGAGUUUGGAUAGGGAGUGAGGGUUUUGUUGGAGGUGGGUUCGAGAGGAGAAGAGGCAGAGAUAGUUUCUCUGUCAUUUUUAGAGUGAGAGGGGGUUGGGUGAGUUUCAAGGAUUAUAAGUUGGUUUUUUUCGUUGAGUUUGUGUGGUGUUUCGACUUGAUGGCAAGAUUUUUUUGUGCGGUCUUUUGACUGGAGGAGCAUGUUGAGAUACUCAAGGCGAUUACCUCUCUCAAUGUAGUGGAGGUUUGCAAGGUAGCAGACAAGAAUAUCUCCCAAAAAGCUAGCUUGCCAUGUCAGCAAGAGUUGACUAUCUGAUUUGGAGGAGAGAAAAAAUUAGCAGAGAGCAGAAUCACUUUAAGAACACUUAUCCUAAUCUUAAAUUUGAACAAAGAAAUUCUCAAUUCAUAUCUCAACACGGGCACUCAUGUUCUCGAAUUUCAGAAAUUUUGAAGAGUCUAAACCUAAACAUCACGAUGGGAAUUUCUCUAAGCUGUUCGGACUCGAGAUUCAGAGGAAAGCAUUUCACGCAUGGACUACCACACAGAAGUUUGAGUUCAAGUCUCUCUCCAAUCUUGUGCGAGAUAUAUAUUAAAACUCGUGGGAAAAACAUCGUAUAUUUACUGUAAAUAUAGAUUCAUUACACUUUGGUGUAACUAUAGACUAUUUGUAUUGUGGACGAUAAGACAACAUUAUAACUAUAAACUGUUUGUACUGUGUACGACACUGUAAUACUUGUGAGAAGCGUUGUCUUUGCUGUGUUUAGUCAAAGAUUGUUACUAGGAGUGUUGUUUUUUCUGUUUUAUGCCAAAAGUUGUUGAAGCUAGCCUGAUAGCAAGAUUUAAUAUUAUUGGGUCUGACUUGAAACACAAACUCAAAUCGCUUCUAAAAGGUUUCAAUAGCGUUGGGUCUUACUGUCUAGUAGAACCCAAUAGCGUUUGGUACAGAUAUUUCCAUUUUUUUUUUCUCUUUAUAUUUUUUUUUCCUUUCUUCCUACCGAAAACAGGCAUGGGAGUAGUAAGAAAGAGUGUCUGCUAUGACUAUGGCUGGAAAUCAAACUCUUCCCUUUCAAUUCAGGCCGGUUCAUUCAUUAGAAAAACCGAUUCUUGACCUCCUAUGACUUCAUUCAUGUCAAUCGAAUCAGAGAAGCUUUUAGAGAAGGGGCAGGGGCUAAUCUUCCCUUUUCUGUUAGGUGGAAAGAAAAAGACAGAUGAAGGAGAAGCGGUUUAGCCAACGAGAGGAGGGAGCUUUCUAAGCAACUCAGCCACGAUGAGCCGAGUACCAAACCUUUUCUUACCAUUCACUUAAAAAACUUAUCUAAGCACUUGAUCGAGGAGAGUUACGGGGGAAAAAGGCAUUAGACUAUGUUUUACGGUAAAGAGGAAAUUUGAGUCCUACCCCUAGAAAAACCCAAAAUAGCUUUGGGUUCAAUUACAUAGCAGGACCCAUAGCUUUGGGUCUAGCCUCAGCUAGACCUAUUGACGCCAGUUCUUGCCUCAACAUUACUAAUCAGUGCUGGAUCCUGCUCCCAGCAAGACCCCAUAGCUUUGGAUCCAGACCUAUUAGAGUUAGAUCCUGACAUAUUAGAGUUGAGUCCUGCCUCUAGCAAGACCCAAAAUAGCUUGGGGUUUGGCCUCAGCUGAACCCAUCAACGUCAGAUCCUGCCCCCAGCAGGACCCAUCAGCGUCGGGUCUUGCCCUAGCAUUACCAAUCAACGUCGAGUCCUGCCCCCAGCAUGACCCAAAAUAGUUUUAGGUUCGGCUGCACAACAAGACCCAUUAGCUCUGGGUUUGGCCUUAGCAAGACCCAUCAGCGUCGGGUCCUGCCCAGCAUUACCAAUCAAUGCCGGGUCCUGCUCCCGGCAGGACCACAUAGCUUUGAAUUUGGACCUAUUAGAGUAGGGUUCUGCCCUUUCAGGACCUAAAAUAGCUUUGGGUUCAGUUGCCUAGCAGAACCCAAUAGCGUUGGGUCCGGCUCCCUACCAUGACCUAAUAGCGUUGGGUCUGACCUCAGCUGGACCCAAUUGGGUGCCUACCAAUAGGACCCAACACUUUAAAUUGUUUUUCUUUUCUAUUAUGUUUUUUUUCAUAUGAUAAAGAGAAAAUAAAUUGAUGAGAGUUUUUUUUAUAUUGUACAAAAGUUGGGUGAUGAUAAUUUUUUUUUCAUUUGAGGUUGGGUUGAAAUGUUUGUUUUUGCUUUUCGAAAAUGCUUUAAAAAAAUUGAGAAUUUUUUAUUUUUUUUCUUUAAUUCAAAUUAAUAUUUUUAAUAUUUUUGUAUUAUUUUGAUGUGAUAAUAUAAAAAAUCAAUUUUAAUUUUUUUUCUCUUAUUAAAUUUUUUUUUUAUACGAUAAAUUAAAAAUAAAUUGAUAAGAUUUUCUAUAUAUUCUACAAAAGUUAAGUGAUGAUAAUUUUUUUCAUUUAUCAGGUUGAAUUUUCUUAUUAAAACAUUUAUUUUUACAUUUCAAAAAUACUUUUUAAAAAUUUAAAAUUUUUUAUUUUUUUCUUUAAUUCAAAUUAAUAUUUUCUUUUCUUAUAAAUUUUUUUCUUUUUUUUUUGUAAUUUUUUUUCAUACAAUAAAGAGAAAAUAAAUUGAUAAAACGUUUUUUAUAUUAUACAAAAAUUAGAUGAUUUAUCUUUGUAUUUCAAAAAUACUAGCACAUUAACCAUGGUGACAAAUGUAGUAUAUGCACAAUUUAUUUCAAUAAAAAAUAAGGAACUCUAAGGAGGAAAUCCCGAGUCCAGAGGACUUGCAUGAGACGCUUGAUAAUUCGAGGUAAGUUCUUCAGCUUGUAGAUAAGAACUACCUAAAUGAAUAACAGGAGCCAGUUUUACGCAUGCAAAGAAAAUAUAUAGCCAGAACCACAGCUGCUGCAUCCAUGAUUCAACCUAAAUUAAGAUUCAUCAACAUAAGCAUAAACUGCAGACAGCAAUAUCAUCUUGAAAAUCCUACUAUUUAGGGGAUCCAUAAGCAAAAUCCUUAACAAGGCUAGUUCUGUAAGCAAGUACUAAAUUGAACUAAAAACAGAAAUUGCCGACAGCAGCAGGCAUAAUUUUGGCUAUUAUCAUCAACAAAAAAGAUAGCCCUGCCACAGGAAGGAAAGAUGACCCACGAAGACUGGAGUUCAUCCCCUUGAACUUCAUUUGAGGAAGUGAGGACUAAUCAACCCAGCAAUCUCAAGAAAUCCGACCUGGUCUCUACCAGGAAAUAUCUUCUUCAACUUCUCGUCGCAAAUUAUGUUCUUCUUGUUACUAGGGUCCUAAAAACGUUGCAGCAAGUCCAGUCAGCUCCAAAUUUAUGAUAUAGUCAUAUAUGCAUGCAUUAUAGAUGUUCUAUGCAAUGGCUCAGAAGCAGCUAGAAGAAGAGACACCAAGUCAUGUUUUUCUUUCAACCAAAUUAUUCAUCCGGAAGUUAACCAUUAUAGUGAAGGGCAAUAGCUGCUUGGAAAUAACAUGCCAACAACCAUUCCCCGCGUUGGCAUCAUGAUUUUAUCACCACUGCCUGGCAUUUUCACAUUAGUAAAAUCUAGUGACUUCUAAUUCAGCCACAUACAUAACAUGCUGCGUGUGGCUGAAUCAACAAAGUACUACAUCCCACAUUCAUGUACUAUAGACUUGAAAUUAUUCGGAGUCAUUUCUCAAACUUGACGCUAUCUACAAAAUCAUGUCUCAACCCAAAUUCAUGCGAUAAAAUCCGUCCCUAACAUGAGAGAUGCCCUGUCCAUACAUCAUUGUAUUCAAUAAUAAUCAUCAGGCCAUGUGAGUAACUCAACUCAACAUGAGAAAAAACCUCACUAAGAUAUUACUCAACUCGAGAUACAACAGCAGAUAAGCCUAGUCAGCAUAGAAAGAGAUUUCAACAACAAGUAGAUCCAAAAACACAUGACAUGUAAGAGCAACAAAAACACUCAAGCAAUCACGCUAUGUCCCCGUCUUUUUUCAAACCAAGACACCCUAUAAAAAAUAUAAGGCCAAUCUAAAGUCUAAACAUUCAAUGUAUCCGAGUCUACUCGGAUAUAGCACACUCAACAAAACAUCAUGGAUCCUGAAAAUCAUAGAUGAGGCAUAAAAGAUAGCAAACAAACAUUACCCAAAAGCCCAAAAUAAUUCAGCAGCCAAACAGGCCAAUAGCAUCAUCCAAAACCACAAACGAAACAAAGCACAAAACGGAACUGGAACAUUUCCCUGACACCGCCACAACCUUAUCCACAAACAUGACACAUCUCCAGCUAAUUAAUUAAAUAAUCAACAAUAUAAAAACCCAUGAACAAACACAACCCACAUUUUACCGUCUCAACACAACCUUAUCCAAACAUUUAAUUAAAAAUUAAGCACGAAAAAUAAUACGAACCCAAAAUUUUAAAUAAAAAUGCCGAAUUUUAAUCAAAAUAUACCUGAAGAUUGCGCUCCUUUAUAUGGGCCCAGAUAAGCUUGAGAACCUGGGUGCGAGAGACCUCAGGAGCGCCAACAAAGUCUGCCAUUUCAGGUGAGACUCGCUUCGGCUUCAUUAUGCCGCUGGGAGCGCGGUUGCCAGUCGACGCCGUAGCGCAGGUAACAACAGUACGCCCCAUGCGCAGGUUAACAGGACGCGCAGCCAGAAUCCUGAGAGAAGGAGAGGAUGUAUGAAAUGGAGGCUUGAGAAGCGGCACCGUUUCGGUGGAUAGGAAAGGAAAGCAAGUCCUUGAAGAAAUUUCCAUUUGAAAAAAAAAAAUUGGAGAUGCUUAGGUUUCUGAGAGAGUAGAGGGCUUUGAGUUAUCUUGAUUUUUUUUUCUCGUUCUUUUUCAGCUUCUAAUUUUGGUGUUUUGAUAGAAUAUGAAGGGAGAUAAGGGUUUGUGUGUGUGAGUGAGUGAGUGAGUGAGUGGGAGACAGAAUUUGGCUGAUCCCGCCUUAUUCAUGACGUAGACAGUGUUUAUUUCUUACGUCGAAAAAAUUUAAAUUGUUUUUUAAAUUAAUUGUUUUUGUCUUUAAAUUAUUUUAAAAUAAUAAGGUUGAGAAUACAUUUUAAAAAAUAUAAAAAAAAUCAAUUAAAAUAAAAAAUAUUUUAAAAAACAACCAUUAUUAUAAUUUCAAAUAUUUAUUACUUUAUUUUUUAAUUUUUUCAGGAUUGUUAAAAUGACUUACAUGCCCUCUAUUAGGCAGGUACUGUAGGGGAUAUCAUGUGAUUUUUGUUGGGUUAAGAGUGUCCAAGUGUGAUGACGUGACAGACAUCCUCAAGAAAUCUGGGCCGUAGGAGGAUGGAGUUGGGCAUAUAAAUCCAGUUCGGCUCCUAAGAAUUUGAAAAAGAAGCAAGCCCAUAAAUGCAAGUUGGGCUUACGCAACAGACAAGUUGACAAGAAGCUGAGGACUUUUUCUAUUUUCUCUUGGGGUUUUUUUCAAGGCAAAGACAGAGAUGUUGAUGGACACCUCGGACCCAAUAUCACUGUACAUCCAUAAGCUUACCCAAAUACAAAUAACCCUAACUGACCUAAUAUGACUACAAGCCCAGAUUUGGACUUAGAGGCUUCUUGGUGGCCCAACAGCCCAAAGACAUGCGCUCAUGAUUCAGGCUUAGGGCCCAUACCCUGGAGGCAUAAGCCCAUGAGGUGGCCUUGGGGUUCUCCGAUGGUCUGUUAUGUUCUCCGACCGGUGAAAGCCAACCGGGAUCAUGUAUCGAGUCACGUUUUAGCCAAAUUGAUCAUAAUUAAAACACGCAGUACAGAUUAAGUUGCUGUUGAAACACAUUAUUAUAAAGCUAGCCUUCGAUUAAUUAAUUAAGAGGUAGGAAGGAGGUCAAUUUAAACACAAGGAAAGGAAACAAAUGGGCCAACAAGAGGAGGAUAGCACGUUACCAUCAUUCAUCUAGCAGGAAAUUCUCGUUAAAGUAAACUCGGCCCCUCCACACACUCCCUUUUACUCUACUCUGGGCUACAUGGACUUGGGAGCUACCAUUUGUGCGAGCAUGAACCGUGCCUGGCAUGGCAAUGUUUCAAUCCAGACCAAGACAUUCAAGAUAUGAUAUUCUCGCCGUGUAAAAUGCGAGGAGAAUUUUAUGUUGUUACUCAACCGAAGCGUACUCGUAAGAAAAACUGGGGUUAAUUUGCUGUCAAUGGAGUUAUCGAGGAGGUUGAGAGGGCAAAUCCUCGACAGGCUUUGUAAUGGCAUUUCGAUGCAUGCGGACAAGGUUUCGACGAGGGGUUGAGGAAGAAGCCAUCACUUUUGGAAGAGCUAGCUAGGUGCGUGCUAGCAAUAUCAACUUCAUGAGCUUUCAUGGAAUGCCCUGUCAGUCGCUGCUUUUUUUGUCUUGAAAAUAAUUAACCACCUAAAUUACUGCUCUCGCAACUGUAGAAUUAAUCUUCACUUUUGCGUAGGACUUCUUUUCUUCCUGACGUGUAAACUAGUCGUAUCUAAAUUUAAAGAGUCAUUAAAACUCUACGUAACGUACCCCUCGCGCAGUCACUUAAUUUUGAAUUUAUAUAUAUCACCAAGAAAACAAUAUUGCAAACCCUAACUAUUAAACCAAUUGCGUUCCAACCAUGUUUUUAAAAUUUCUUGGAUUUGUUUAGUUUCAAAUUAAUUUUCUUUAUAUUUUUGAAUUGUAUGUUAAUAUCAAAAAUAAAUUUUAAAAUAUAAAAAAUAUUAUUUUAAUAUAUUUUAAAACUUUACUUUAAAAACCAAUUAUUAUUACAAUAACAAUCAUUUGUUGAAGAAAAUUACAUUUCAUUGCUCCGCCAAACCUACAUGUGCAGCAAGAGUGUUUUUUCUUCUUUUUUUUCUUAUCUCCAGGUAAAAAACAAUGCAUGCCCACGCACUACCGUGGCUACGGAAUGCCAUUAAUUACUGCUCUCCUGCCAUCAAUCUCCAAACAAAAAAGAAAGAAUAGGGAAAUGGAUUGUUAUAAUUAAACGUUUGUUAUGAAGAAAAAACUACAAACCUGCAAGGACUUGUGCGAUGGUUAUAGGUCAAUGAAAAUAGGGCCCAUAAUUAAGCCAUUAAUUAGUAAUCAUAAUGUAGGCGAGUUAAUUCUGUGGGAUCUUAUGAAAAUGAACUUCUUCCAUGAUCAUGUUACAGAAAGAAGAUAAUCAAACAAAAGGAUUCGGAUACGAGCAAAGAUCAUCUUCCAAUUUUAUUAGCAUAGUUUAUCAUGUUGCGUUUUGUUUUGAAAUAAUAAUAUUUAAUAAAUAUCAGCUUUUGAAACACGAUAUGUUCAAAUUAUGUUAUUUAUGGUCCAAUUGUGUUAAUAAAUAUCACGCUUCUGAAACACGACAUGAUCAAAUUAUGUUAUUUAUGGCUCAACCAGUCGACUGGUUCCGAAAAUAACAAGAAAAAUCUUAAAACUGUCAAAAUCGAGGGUCCUCAUUAAGAUUUCUGACAUCUAAAUAUUUGAAUGUCUGUGUAGGGACACAAUAACUAAUAUAGAGGAAAUGACAUCUAUAAGCUCCUAUAAACAUUUGAGCGCGAUCCAAUAGUCAUAUCAAAAGUUAUGAUUUUUUUGAGUUGUUAUUCUGGUCUGACGUGACCAAACCUCCUCUUGAGCCUAGACCUGUCACACUGGUCUAUAAAUACAUUUGCUAGGUUAUCUAUGUAAUCUGUUUGGGGGUAAAUUCAUAUUUAGUUAUGGCAGAUUCACACUUGACUAUUCAAAAUCACUCACUACUAUAUGAACAAUAACUUUUGAGAUUUUAAUUGGCAUCUAUUUUUGAGUUUACAAGUUAGAUAAAGAUAAUUUUAACUAAUAAAAUAUAUUUGGAAGAAAUACUUUAUAAAAUUAUAGUUUUUGUGUAAAAUUGUCUAUCGGUUAAUACAAUUGGAUUUAACCGGUCAACAUGUUAAGGUAGGAGAUUGGAGUUUAACAUGUCACACUUGGUUCAAAAUGUGUUAUAUCAUCAAAUCUUUUUUAAAAUGAUUUUAUUUUAUGGAAUUUUUAUUGUUAUUAUGCUAAUUUUAAAAAAAAAUCAUUUAUUUUCUUCGAAACUCUUAACCACUUUGGGCGACACACGUGAACCAAGUUUAAUGAUCCAUCUCACUCAACAGGCUUUUAGGACAUACCCAAAAAAGGGCGUUGUUCUGCGAGACCUGGUUACAGCGACGUUGCUGGAAAUCAUUACAAGUUCAGCUCUCGUUAUCAUCAGUUUAUCUGUAUGAUUUGCAUCUCUAAGUCCACUUAUAAGUGUUUAUUGUUCAAAUUCUUCGACAAGGUGGAAUAAUAUUUUUUUUAUUAUAGAGUAUUAUCAUGUAAGUUUAUAUAUUGAUCAAAAUUAAUUUUUUUAAUAACUUUGACAGCACAUCUUUUAUACUGACUUGAUGAAUUCAGAAAAAAAAUAUUAAUCUUUUUUAAAAAUACCAUUCACGAGAUUUGAAUCGAGAAAUCAAAUAAAGAAAACGUGCCUCUUUAAGAACCACACCAAACUCUUAACAUUACAGAUUGUCGAAGAUUAUUCUGCAUUCAAGUUGAUUCGAGGGCAGCUAUCACGGCGAGACAGCACAGCAUGGGCCACCACAAAACAGGCGGCGCACCUACAUAGCAUCUACAGUCGGUGGACUAUAGACAAAACUUCAGCGUAAAAUAUACAACUGCCAGUGCCAGUCCAGUGGCGAUGCUAUGAUUAAGGACCAGCACAUAUGAAGGAAGGCAGAGUCCGCUAAUCAUAAUCCUCCCCUGUUGCUUCUUUAGUAAGAAGGACUGUCAUUAUGCUCAUAUGCUGUGCAUUAUUCUUGCCUGGAGAAGUUAAGUGUUAGCUAGCUUGGCUCAAUGGGGUAAGAAGGGGCAAGAAAAAGUAAGAUGGAGGUUUUGUUGCAUCUUGAUCUGAUUAAAUCUUGAAGGACCAGGAGAAGUCUUCUAAAGAAAGUUGAGAGAUUUUGUCUUUUACGACGGUUACUUUUAAUUUUUUUUAGUGUUUUUAAAAUAUAUUUUAUUUGAAAAUAUAUUAAAUUAAUAUUUUGUUAGUAUUUUUUAAUAUUUUUAUGUGCUGCUAUAAAAUAAAUAAAAAAUUAUUAAUGUAUUUUAAGCAAAAAUUAAUUUUUUAAAAAACUUUGUACCACUAAUUGAAAAUUAAUAAUUAAUAAAAAAAUAAAAAAUUUUCAUUACGAAGUUUUUUUCUUUGUGAUUGGAUACGAGUUUAUUUGAAUCCAAUUAUAAAAGAAUGUACUAUGAGACAUAAAAAUUAAUUAAAAAAACACAUCAAGUAUUAAGAAAUAGAUAAUAUUGAUUGCUAAAAUCAACAAACUAAUCAUACAAGUGAUUGAGUAUAAUUUUUCCAACAUUUUUAUACGAAGGUUCCUCUUCAGCUUCAAUUUAAACCCUAUAGCACGAUGUGUGAUGAACCCAAAAAAACAUAAUGUAAUCAUAAUUUAUUUUAUUAAAAAUUAAAAUAACACUAAAAAACAUGGAUAAAUCACUGAAAAUCACACGGGUAUAUAAUAUUCAUUAUGGACAGUGAUUUAUUUUUUCACUUUAGUUAUUAAAAUUAACCAAAUUAAUGUUCAAUUUAAGUCAAUUUACUAAGAAAUGAUAGAAUUGAAGAUUAGAGAACCAAAGUAGAAAAAGUAAAGUAAAAGAAAGCAGUUUUAAAAAUUUGUGUGAAAAAUUCACCUUCACCGUCCUUUUUUUUAGGUCCCUCAAUAUUUCAAGAAUUCAAAUUUGAUGUAAAUUUUUUUCUUUAUUUUUAAUUUUUGAGUUGAGAGAUAAGAGAGAAAAAUCACUGAAUUUUAAUAAUAAAAAAAAAAGUUUUGGUUGAUAAUGAUUCCAGCCAUUAAGAAUGUCGUUCUUGAUACUUAUAAAUUUCUUUAAAUAAAUAAAAAAAUUUAAUUUUCACGUUGUUUCACCUUAUAAUUGCAUGAAAAGAUAUAUUUGAUUUUAGAAAGUUUCUAGAUUACGUUCUUGAUGCUUAUAAGUUUCUUUAAAUAAAUAAAAAAACUUAAUUUUUACGUUGUUUCACCUUAUAAUUGCUUUCCAGGUUGUUUUUCGGUAAAAAAAAAAUGCAUUUUUGGAUUGAAAAAAACCCUACCCUUUUUUUCAACAAACCUUAGAUUGCCGAAUACUAGAGAUGCAAGCAAUGUAUAGUCUGUGUUACUUGACAAAAAAAUUUGGCUGGGUGGACGAAAGAAAUUAAAUUGGGGAGGCCAUAAACUAGAGAAAUCAAAGCCAGGAGAAUAAAGAAUAUUUGCCGAGCUAAUUUUGUAAAAUUGAUCCACUUACUAAAAAAAUCAUUUAUUUAAACAUCCGAAACUUUGAUAUUAAUCCUACCAUUCUCAGAUUUGAAAUGACAGAUUAUUAAUCAGCGAGGAUCUAAAAUAAAAGGAUAUUAUGUCACAUUCGAGUCAUCCCAGCCCUCUCCCCUUCUAAAACCAGUGAUUGACAAAUCCAUCACCGUUUUAAGGACAAAAUAAAAUCAUUCCAACAAACAAACAUAUUGAUGAUCAAGAUUUUUUUAAUCAUAUAUUAAAGGUCCACUCUACCAUCCUGUCUUUCACCCCUCCCUCUAAGAGGGCACCCCCCCCUACGCUAAUAAAAGCCCAAAAUCAUCAUUAACACUAACACAAAACCAAGGCACUAAACAACAACCCAAAAAAAAAACCACCAAGCUGGCCAUCAACGUGUCACCCAGAUCUCAUAUCCAAAUCACAUGCAUGUUGGUCCCACACAUCAAACUCCUUAAUCAGACGCCUCAGAUCUGUUUGGUACCCAAUUGGGCCCACUGAUCCCUCUCAAAAUUCCGAACCUUCCUAGCGCUCUCUAUUUAUCACCCUCCCUUCCAUUCUCAACUUCCUCACUGGUCAGUACUCCAAGCCUCUACACACAAAAUAGCCCGGGGAGAGAGAGACUCGGAACUAGACAAAAAUGGUGCGUAGAAACGCUGUGAUCUUUCUUUCUUUGAUCUGCAUUGUUAUUGGUGGUGUUAGUGGUCAAGCACCAGCAACAUCACCAACAGCAACACCAGCACCACCUACGGCAACAACACCAACAACGUCUCCUCCACCAGCAACCUCCACUCCUCCACCAGUGUCAGCCCCACCUCCAGUCACCCAAUCCCCACCUCCAGCUACACCUCCUCCGGUCUCAGCCCCACCACCAGCCUCCCCUCCUCCAGCCACACCACCCCCAGCAACACCUCCUCCCGCCACACCUCCACCAGCAACACCUCCUCCAGCCACACCGCCACCUGCUACUCCACCACCAGCAACCCCUCCUCCAGCUGUUCCUCCACCAGCUCCCUUGGCUUCUCCGCCAGCUCUUGUUCCAGCUCCAGCUCCAGCUCCCAGCAAGUCUAAGCUGAAGGCUCCAGCUCCAUCUCCCCUGGCAUCGAGUCCUCCAGCUCCACCAACCGGUGCUCCUGCUCCAAGUUUGGGUGCUUCUUCUC
Molecule: long non-coding RNA, 24192 nt
Filed under: Populus trichocarpa (black cottonwood)
Lineage: Eukaryota; Viridiplantae; Streptophyta; Magnoliopsida; Malpighiales; Salicaceae
Description: long non-coding RNA (PTRI_LNC000294)
Rfam family: MIR480 microRNA precursor family (bases 20418-20525)
Source: RNAcentral